CGGCAACAUCAAGAGUUGGGGGCAACCCCGACGCCAACCUGCCGGCAACCGGGCAAGGUGGCGCCUUUCAGCGAUGAAAGGGAUGUGGCCGCAGCGGCAACCAAACGGAGCCAA
Molecule: non-coding RNA, 114 nt
Filed under: Novosphingobium sp. FSW06-99
Lineage: Bacteria; Pseudomonadati; Pseudomonadota; Alphaproteobacteria; Sphingomonadales; Sphingomonadaceae
Also listed under: 1 other name
Description: SAM-I/IV (S-adenosyl methionine) riboswitch aptamer
Rfam family: SAM-I/IV (S-adenosyl methionine) riboswitch aptamer
About the family: It is found upstream of a number of genes which code for proteins involved in methionine or cysteine biosynthesis. It has been found mostly in the order Actinomycetales.
Source: Rfam by way of RNAcentral